RNAcentral lists this ribosomal RNA (2927 nucleotides) under Klebsiella pneumoniae. RNAcentral's name for it is "23S ribosomal RNA". It matches the Rfam family "Bacterial large subunit ribosomal RNA". The record is from RNAcentral. Lineage: Bacteria; Pseudomonadati; Pseudomonadota; Gammaproteobacteria; Enterobacterales; Enterobacteriaceae.
GGGUUGUGAGGUUAAGCGACUAAGCGUACACGGUGGAUGCCCUGGCAGUCAGAGGCGAUGAAGGACGUGCUAAUCUGCGAAAAGCGUCGGUAAGGUGAUAUGAACCGUUAUAACCGGCGAUGUCCGAAUGGGGAAACCCAGUGCAAUUCGUUGCACUAUCGUUAACUGAAUACAUAGGUUAACGAGGCGAACCGGGGGAACUGAAACAUCUAAGUACCCCGAGGAAAAGAAAUCAACCGAGAUUCCCCCAGUAGCGGCGAGCGAACGGGGAGCAGCCCAGAGUCUGAAUCAGCUUGUGUGUUAGUGGAACGGUCUGGAAAGUCCGACGGUACAGGGUGAUAGUCCCGUACACCAAAAAUGCACAGGCUGUGAACUCGAAGAGUAGGGCGGGACACGUGGUAUCCUGUCUGAAUAUGGGGGACCAUCCUCCAAGGCUAAAUACUCCUGACUGACCGAUAGUGAACCAGUACCGUGAGGGAAAGGCGAAAAAGAACCCCGGCGAGGGGAGUGAAAAAGAACCUGAAACCGUGUACGUACAAGCAGUGGGAGCACCUUCGGGUGUGACUGCGUACCUUUGUAUAAUGGGUCAGCGACUUAUAUUCUGUAGCAAGGUUAACCGUAUAGGGGAGCCGCAGGGAAACCGAGUCUUAACUGGGCGUUAAGUUGCAGGGUAUAGACCCGAAACCCGGUGAUCUCAGCCAUGGGCAGGUUGAAGGUUGGGUAACACUAACUGGAGGACCGAACCGACUAAUGUUGAAAAAAAUUAGCGGAUGACUUGUGGCUGGGGGUGAAAGGCCAAUCAAAACCGGGAGAUAGCUGGUUCUCCCCGAAAGCUAUUUAGGUAGCGCCUCGUGAACUCAUCUUCGGGGGUAGAGCACUGUUUCGGCUAGGGGGUCAUCCCGACUUACCAACCCGAUGCAAACUACGAAUACCGAAGAAUGUUAUCACGGGAGACACACGGCGGGUGCUAACGUCCGUCGUGAAGAGGGAAACAACCCAGACCGCCAGCUAAGGUCCCAAAGUCAUGGUUAAGUGGGAAACGAUGUGGGAAGGCACAGACAGCCAGGAUGUUGGCUUAGAAGCAGCCAUCAUUUAAAGAAAGCGUAAUAGCUCACUGGUCGAGUCGGCCUGCGCGGAAGAUGUAACGGGGCUAAACCAUGCACCGAAGCUGCGGCAGCGACACUAUGUGUUGUUGGGUAGGGGAGCGUUCUGUAAGCCUGCGAAGGUGUGCUGUGAGGCAUGCUGGAGGUAUCAGAAGUGCGAAUGCUGACAUAAGUAACGAUAAAGCGGGUGAAAAGCCCGCUCGCCGGAAGACCAAGGGUUCCUGUCCAACGUUAAUCGGGGCAGGGUGAGUCGACCCCUAAGGCGAGGCCGAAAGGCGUAGUCGAUGGGAAACAGGUUAAUAUUCCUGUACUUGGUGUUACUGCGAAGGGGGGACGGAGAAGGCUAUGUUAGCCGGGCGACGGUUGUCCCGGUUUAAGCAUGUAGGCUGAUUGUCCAGGCAAAUCCGGAUAAUCAAGGCUGAGGUGUGAUGACGAGGCACUACGGUGCUGAAGUAACAAAUGCCCUGCUUCCAGGAAAAGCCUCUAAGCAUCAGGUAACAUUAAAUCGUACCCCAAACCGACACAGGUGGUCAGGUAGAGAAUACCAAGGCGCUUGAGAGAACUCGGGUGAAGGAACUAGGCAAAAUGGUGCCGUAACUUCGGGAGAAGGCACGCUGGUGUGUAGGUGAAGUCCCUGCGGAUGGAGCUGAGACCAGUCGAAGAUACCAGCUGGCUGCAACUGUUUAUUAAAAACACAGCACUGUGCAAACACGAAAGUGGACGUAUACGGUGUGACGCCUGCCCGGUGCCGGAAGGUUAAUUGAUGGGGUUAUCCGUAAGGAGAAGCUCUUGAUCGAAGCCCCGGUAAACGGCGGCCGUAACUAUAACGGUCCUAAGGUAGCGAAAUUCCUUGUCGGGUAAGUUCCGACCUGCACGAAUGGCGUAAUGAUGGCCAGGCUGUCUCCACCCGAGACUCAGUGAAAUUGAACUCGCUGUGAAGAUGCAGUGUACCCGCGGCAAGACGGAAAGACCCCGUGAACCUUUACUAUAGCUUGACACUGAACAUUGAGCCUUGAUGUGUAGGAUAGGUGGGAGGCUUUGAAGCGUGGACGCCAGUCUGCGUGGAGCCAACCUUGAAAUACCACCCUUUAAUGUUUGAUGUUCUAACGUUGGCCCCUGACCGGGGUUGCGGACAGUGUCUGGUGGGUAGUUUGACUGGGGCGGUCUCCUCCCAAAGCGUAACGGAGGAGCACGAAGGUUAGCUAAUCCUGGUCGGACAUCAGGAGGUUAGUGCAAUGGCAUAAGCUAGCUUGACUGCGAGCGUGACGGCGCGAGCAGGUGCGAAAGCAGGUCAUAGUGAUCCGGUGGUUCUGAAUGGAAGGGCCAUCGCUCAACGGAUAAAAGGUACUCCGGGGAUAACAGGCUGAUACCGCCCAAGAGUUCAUAUCGACGGCGGUGUUUGGCACCUCGAUGUCGGCUCAUCACAUCCUGGGGCUGAAGUAGGUCCCAAGGGUAUGGCUGUUCGCCAUUUAAAGUGGUACGCGAGCUGGGUUUAGAACGUCGUGAGACAGUUCGGUCCCUAUCUGCCGUGGGCGCUGGAGAAUUGAGGGGGGCUGCUCCUAGUACGAGAGGACCGGAGUGGACGCAUCACUGGUGUUCGGGUUGUCAUGCCAAUGGCACUGCCCGGUAGCUAAAUGCGGAAGAGAUAAGUGCUGAAAGCAUCUAAGCACGAAACUUGCCCCGAGAUGAGUUCUCCCUGAGACUUUAAGUCUCCUGAAGGAACGUUAAAGACGAUGACGUUGAUAGGCCGGGUGUGUAAGCGCAGCGAUGCGUUGAGCUAACCGGUACUAAUGAACCGUGAGGCUUAACCUUACAACGCCGAAG